This 879-nucleotide ribosomal RNA is filed under the name Elsinoe pyri. RNAcentral describes it as "partial large subunit ribosomal RNA". It matches the Rfam family "Eukaryotic large subunit ribosomal RNA", at positions 55 to 954 of the family's 3401-position model. The record is from RNAcentral. Lineage: Eukaryota; Fungi; Ascomycota; Dothideomycetes; Myriangiales; Elsinoaceae.
GGAAAAGAAACCAACAGGGAUUGCCUCAGUAACGGCGAGUGAAGCGGCAAUAGCUCAAAUUUGAAAUCUGGCGUCUUCGGCGUCCGAGUUGUAAUUUGUAGAGGAUGCUAUUGAGUUGUCACCGGUCUAAGUUCCUUGGAACAGGACGUCAUAGAGGGUGAGAAUCCCGUAUGUGACCGGCCAGACGCUCUCUGUAUAGCUCCUUCGACGAGUCGGGUUGUUUGGGAAUGCAGCCCUAAAUGGGAGGUAAAUUUCUUCUAAAGCUAAAUACCGGCCAGAGACCGAUAGCGCACAAGUAGAGUGAUCGAAAGAUGAAAAGCACUUUGGAAAGAGAGUUAAAAAGCACGUGAAAUUGUUGAAAGGGAAGCGCUUGCAAUCAGUCUCGACGGCGGCUGUUCGGCCUCUCUUCUGAGUGGUUUAUUCAGUCGCCGCCGGGCCAGCAUCAGUUCUGGCGGUCGGAUAAAGACGCGGGGAAUGUAGCUCCCCUCGGGGAGUGUUAUAGCCUCGCGUGCAAUACGGCCUGCCGGGACUGAGGUCCGCGCUUCGGCUAGGAUGCUGGCGAAAUGGUUGUAAGCGGCCCGUCUUGAAACACGGACCAAGGAGUCUAACAUCUAUGCGAGUGUUUGGGUGUCAAACCCGUACGCGUAAUGAAAGUGAACGGAGGUGGGAACCGCAAGGUGCACCAUCGACCGAUCCUGAUGUCUUCGGAUGGAUUUGAGUAAGAGCAUAGCUGUUGGGACCCGAAAGAUGGUGAACUAUGCCUGAAUAGGGUGAAGCCAGAGGAAACUCUGGUGGAGGCUCGCAGCGGUUCUGACGUGCAAAUCGAUCGUCAAAUUUGGGUAUAGGGGCGAAAGACUAAUCGAACCAUCUAGUAGCUGG